RNAcentral lists this ribosomal RNA (497 nucleotides) under uncultured bacterium. Its description in RNAcentral is "partial 16S ribosomal RNA". It matches the Rfam family "Bacterial small subunit ribosomal RNA", at positions 28 to 507 of the family's 1533-position model. The record is from RNAcentral.
GAUGAACGCUGGCGGCGUGCCUAAUACAUGCAAGUCGAGCGAACAGACGAGGAGCUUGCUCCUCUGACGUUAGCGGCGGACGGGUGAGUAACACGUGGAUAACCUACCUAUAAGACUGGGAUAACUUCGGGAAACCGGAGCUAAUACCGGAUAAUAUAUUGAACCGCAUGGUUCAAUAGUGAAAGACGGUUUUGCUGUCACUUAUAGAUGGAUCCGCGCCGCAUUAGCUAGUUGGUAAGGUAACGGCUUACCAAGGCAACGAUGCGUAGCCGACCUGAGAGGGUGAUCGGCCACACUGGAACUGAGACACGGUCCAGACCCCUACGGGAGGCAGCAGUAGGGAAUCUUCCGCAAUGGGCGAAAGCCUGACGGGGCAACGCCGCGUGAGUGAUGAAGGUCUUCGGAUCUUAAAACUCUGUUAUUAGGGAAGAACAAUUGUGUAAGUAACUAUGCACGUCUUGACGGUACCUAAUCAGAAAGCCACGGCUAACUACGUG